Molecule: non-coding RNA, 122 nt
Organism: Gossypium arboreum
Lineage: Eukaryota; Viridiplantae; Streptophyta; Magnoliopsida; Malvales; Malvaceae
Source: Rfam
AAUAAGAGAAUGAUAAAUUAGAUUUUUCCUUCUCAUUUUUAGCCUUUUCCUCUUGAAAAAAUUCAAAUAAAACUAAAAACACUAAAAUCAGAAUGAAAAAUCUGAUUUGUUAUUCUCCCGUU